GCCGCCGGUUCCGUUUCUAGGCAUCGGUGAGCUGAAGCUGUGGUCCUUCUACAGAGCACUCAUCGCCGAGUUCAUCGCCACCCUCCUCUUUCUCUACGUCACCGUCGCCACCGUCAUCGGCCACAAGAAGCUCAGCGAACUCGACCAGUGCAACGGCGUCGGCCUCCUCGGCAUCGCCUGGGCUUUCGGCGGCAUGAUCUUCAUCCUCGUCUACUGCACCGCCGGAAUCUCAGGUAACAUUUGAAACCCUAACAUUUUCACUUAAUUUUAAUUUGUUCUUAAACUCUGUAAUUACAUUAAUUAAUUAAUU
Molecule: long non-coding RNA, 310 nt
Filed under: Erythranthe guttata (spotted monkey flower)
Lineage: Eukaryota; Viridiplantae; Streptophyta; Magnoliopsida; Lamiales; Phrymaceae
Description: long non-coding RNA (EGUT_LNC001068)
Source: RNAcentral